This 448-nucleotide ribosomal RNA is filed under the name uncultured bacterium. RNAcentral describes it as "bacterial SSU rRNA". It matches the Rfam family "Bacterial small subunit ribosomal RNA", at positions 328 to 793 of the family's 1533-position model. The record is from RNAcentral.
GCACCAGACUCCUACGGGAGGCAGCAGUGGGGAAUAUUGCACAAUGGGGGGAACCCUGAUGCAGCGACGCCGCGUGAGUGAAGAAGUAUUUCGGUAUGUAAAGCUCUAUCAGCAGGGAAGAAAAUGACGGUACCUGACUAAGAAGCCCCGACUAACUACGUGCCAGCAGCCGCGGUAAUACGUAGGGGGCAAGCGUUAUCCGGAUUUACUGGGUGUAAAGGGAGCGUAGACGGCAGAGCAAGUCUGAAGUGAAAUGCCGGGGCCCAACCCCGGAACUGCUCUGGAAACUGUGAAGCUGGAGUGCAGGAGAGGUAAGCGGAAUUCCUGGUGUAGCGGUGAAAUGCGUAGAUAUUAGGAGGAACACCAGUGGCGAAGGCGGCUUACUGGACAGUAACUGACGUUGAGGCUCGAAAGCGUGGGGAGCAAACAGGAUUAGAUACCCUAGUAA